RNAcentral lists this ribosomal RNA (506 nucleotides) under uncultured bacterium. RNAcentral describes it as "partial 16S ribosomal RNA". It matches the Rfam family "Bacterial small subunit ribosomal RNA", at positions 29 to 523 of the family's 1533-position model. The record is from RNAcentral.
AGUGAACGCUGGCGGUAGGCCUAACACAUGCAAGUCGAACGGCAGCACAGGAGAGCUUGCUCUCUGGGUGGCGAGUGGCGGACGGGUGAGGAAUACAUCGGAAUCUACUCUGUCGUGGGGGAUACCGUAGGGAAACUUACGCUAAUACCGCAUACGACCUACGGGUGAAAGCAGGGGACCUUCGGGCCUUGCGCGAUUGAAUGCGCGGAUGUCGGAGUAGCUGGUUGGGGGGGUAAAGGCCAACCAUGGCGACGAUCCGUAGCUGGUCGGAGAGGAUGAUCAGCCACACUGGAAAUGAGACACGGUCCAGACUCCUACGGGAGGCAGCAGUGGGGAAUAUUGGACAAUGGGCGCAAGCCUGAUCCAGCCAUACCGCGUGGGUGAAGAAGGCCUUCGGGUUGUAAAGCCCUUUUGUUGGGAAAGAAAUCCAGCUGGCUAAUACCCGGUUGGGAUGACGGUACCCAAAGAAUAAGCACCGGCUAACUUCGUGCCAGCCGCCGCAGUAA